Cyprinodon tularosa is the source of this 150-nucleotide small nucleolar RNA. The record is from RefSeq and is a predicted model, not a curated record. Lineage: Eukaryota; Metazoa; Chordata; Actinopteri; Cyprinodontiformes; Cyprinodontidae.
CUUCUGUGAUGAUUCGAUGACGAGACGGAGUAGGAACUUCUCUGGUUCUGAAGGUGACCGGUUCAUGAUCACGUUCUGUGGUUUUGCUCCAGUUCUUCAGAUUCAGGGUUCCUUUUAACGUGAAGACACAGAGGCAUUUGUCUGAGAAGG